CGAACGGGUGAGUAACACGUAGACAACCUGCCCCCUGGCCCGGGACAACCUCUGGAAACGGAGGCUGAUACCGGACGGGCAGGAGAGGGGCAUCCCUCUCCUGUGAAAGGCCCUGCAAGGGGCCGCGAGGGGAUGGGUCUGCGGUGCAUUAGCUAGUUGGCGGGGCAGCGGCCCACCAAGGCGACGAUGCAUAGCCGGCCUGAGAGGGCGGACGGCCACAUUGGGACUGAGACACGGCCCAGACUCCUACGGGAGGCAGCAUG
RNAcentral lists this ribosomal RNA (263 nucleotides) under uncultured bacterium. RNAcentral describes it as "partial 16S ribosomal RNA". It matches the Rfam family "Bacterial small subunit ribosomal RNA", at positions 99 to 353 of the family's 1533-position model. The record is from RNAcentral.